This 71-nucleotide transfer RNA is filed under the name Paraclostridium bifermentans. Its description in RNAcentral is "tRNA-Thr". The stretch from base 5 to 67 matches the Rfam family "tRNA", at positions 5 to 66 of the family's 71-position model. From Rfam's summary of the family: Transfer RNA (tRNA) molecules are approximately 80 nucleotides in length. Their secondary structure includes four short double-helical elements and three loops (D, anti-codon, and T loops). Further hydrogen bonds mediate the characteristic L-shaped molecular structure. tRNAs have two regions of fundamental functional importance: the anti-codon, which is responsible for specific mRNA codon recognition, and the 3' end, to which the tRNAs corresponding amino acid is attached (by aminoacyl-tRNA synthetases). tRNAs cope with the degeneracy of the genetic code in two manners: having more than one tRNA (with a specific anti-codon) for a particular amino acid; and 'wobble' base-pairing, i.e. permitting non-standard base-pairing at the 3rd anti-codon position. The record is from RNAcentral. Lineage: Bacteria; Bacillati; Bacillota; Clostridia; Peptostreptococcales; Peptostreptococcaceae.
GCUAGUGUGGCUCAACGGUAGAGCAGCUGACUUGUAAUCAGCAGGUUGUAGGUUCGAUUCCGAACACAGAA